UGCAGCCUUUUGCACUAAAGUCAUGCAAACACUUCAAAACGCUCACGUGGCAACUGAAUUUUUCAAAGGCCUGCAAUAAAGUAACCGUUGGUUGAGGAGUAAAGCCACAGUAAAGCCAUUUACUCCUGAACACAGAACAAAGGCUUCACGUGCUCCUUUGUUCGGGCCUCUCUUCACCAUUUUCAUCUACCAACAGACGGGAAAGACAGCUGCAAUCUAAUCCAGCCUGCAGAGAUGUCCGGCAAACAACCAGAUUGACUGCGUUUUGAAUCUCUGGGACGCAUUUCACCCUGCUGCGGUCGAGACUUCCAACACCCAAGCGGAAUUGGGUGCUCCGAGGCCAUUCCACUUUCUCCCUAUCUACAACGGCAGCUGCUGCCAUUCCGGUUGUUCUGAGGCUGUUCUCUCUUCGGUUAUGACCGCUGAGAAGAGGAAGAAGCCUUCUUGCGAUUCCUCACCUGUUAGCUGUACGUCCGAUUGCUCUACCCGUUCGUCAACUGCAUCCAACAACUACAUCAACUGCCUUUCCAUCUACUUUG
This is a long non-coding RNA of Coffea arabica (coffee), 539 nucleotides long. RefSeq lists it as uncharacterized. The record is from RefSeq and is a predicted model, not a curated record. NCBI's taxonomy places the organism in Eukaryota, Viridiplantae, Streptophyta, Magnoliopsida, Gentianales, Rubiaceae.